UGGGAUGUUCAACCUUUCCAGGAUGCUGGGU
This 31-nucleotide non-coding RNA is filed under the name Mus musculus (house mouse). Lineage: Eukaryota; Metazoa; Chordata; Mammalia; Rodentia; Muridae. The record is from RNAcentral.